UACGGAGGGGGCUAGCGUUGUUCGGAAUUACUGGGCGUAAAGCGCACGUAGGCGGAUCGGACAGUCAGAGGUGAAAUCCCGGGGCUCAACCCUGGAACUGCCUUUGAAACUAUCGGUCUGGAGUUCGAGAGAGGUGAGUGGAAUUCCGAGUGUAGAGGUGAAAUUCGUAGAUAUUCGGAGGAACACCAGUGGCGAAGGCGGCUCACUGGCUCGAUACUGACGCUGAGGUGCGAAAGCGUGGGGAGCAAACAGG
This 253-nucleotide ribosomal RNA is filed under the name uncultured bacterium. RNAcentral's name for it is "partial 16S ribosomal RNA". It matches the Rfam family "Bacterial small subunit ribosomal RNA", at positions 524 to 776 of the family's 1533-position model. The record is from RNAcentral.